This is a long non-coding RNA of Nannospalax galili (Upper Galilee mountains blind mole rat), 3982 nucleotides long. RefSeq lists it as uncharacterized. The transcript has 3 exons. Lineage: Eukaryota; Metazoa; Chordata; Mammalia; Rodentia; Spalacidae. The record is from RefSeq and is a predicted model, not a curated record.
AGCAAGUAACUUGCUGAUGAUGUAUUCACCUAACAUAAACCUGGUAAGUAGGUAAGGAAACUUGCUGUGUGAGUUUACUAGCUAUAUAGCCCUGGCUGCUCUUACAGAGGACACAGGUUUGAAUCCCAGCACCCACAUGGUGGCUAACAACUGUAACACCCCUAGCUGGUGAUGGGAGAGCCACACUACCUUCCGGUUCUCUGUAACAGGAUGGCAAGCAGUCAGCUCAUCCCACCUCCUGCCUUGGAAUUGCUAGGUGGUUUAGGAGACAGCCAGCCAUUGGCCUGCACGGAGCCCCUGCAGCUUAAGCAGAACUCAAGGCCAGAAUUGAGAGGAGGCAUGAGGAACAGCCAAGGGCAACUGCAACACCAUGCUCCCCAUUCCAGGUGAGCUGUAUGAAUUCCCACUGUCCACAGGCUACAGGGUGAGGGGUGCAUGUACCACACUAUGAACAGACGGUCACUGGAGACUGCCUUGCAAAGACAGUGAAUGUGACCUGGCCACCUAGUGAUCUAGGGAUGGGGAAGGAAAAGAGAAUGGAGCCCUUUGGGGUGGAGGGUGGAGAAUCUCAGACUGAUUCAGGGAAACUGGAUCAUAGUGCAAGCUAAGCUGUUUAGAGACACAGGGAGGGAUGAUGGGAGGAGUCUAGAAGCUGCAGAGCAGGGGACCGAGUAGAACCAAGUGCUAGGGGGAUACUAGCUUGCUGAGGGUAGUGGCUCUGGAUUCAGGGGAGGGUAGCUUGGGAGAGGGAGACUUCAGAAGCUGGCUAAGCAAGAUGCAGACACAGAGCAACAAACAGCCUGUUAUGGCUGAACUGAACCAACACUGACCCAGGCAGGCAACACUGAACCAACCCAGGGAAGGUACAGGGUCUGGGUUGAUACCUCCCCUUCCUGGCCCUAGGGGCUUUCUGGGUCCUUCUUUAGGCGACUUAAGUGGUUAUAAAUGAGGCAAUGCUCCAGAGAAAAUAAACCUUGAAAUCACUCUGCCCCUGUGGCUGGGUGUCAGGGUGGAAGGCAGACUCUUAAGCAGAGAGGUGGGAAAGGGAUAGAAGGUGGGAAAGGGUGAAGAGGGACAAAGGUGAUGGAUGAUUGAGGAGGAAGAUACCAGCUGGUGGGGCUGUGGGGUCCUGCCCCACAGGACACAAGUGUUAGGAACUCAGAAGGGAUCAGGACUUUGGGGGUAAUCAGAGUGGAGAAAGUACAACCCUUUCUUUGCCUGGUCAGAGUUUUCCCUGGAGAGCUCAAGGUCAGACAAGACAGGGAAAGGAGGUAAGGAGCCUAGGACUUCAAAUCUGUGACUCAGCAGCCAUCCCUCAGCCUGGACAGAGGUGGCCACAGGUGGAGGAGGGGGCAGGCAGAGAGAGAGAGCCAGUACUUAAUAAUUCAUGGCUUUUUCUAUUUUUACAGUUGCUCAAGGCAGCAGAUAGAGUAAACAUACCAAAUCCAAGACUUUACCUGUCCCAGCUACCUCCUUCCUCUGGGACACAGCCACACCAAAGUCAAACAGGAUCUCUGUCUAUAGACAAGGCUUUGAAAAGUGAAGUUGGAGCUUAGCCCAGGGCGGGAGAAAACAGAACACCCAUGUCUAGGUGAGAAAACCACUUCCUGAGUCCCCCCAGGGGCAACAGAGGAGGAGCUGGGUAGAAGGGAAUCUGGGGAUCUGGUGCAAGGACCCCUGAUGUGACUAAAUGCCACUUGGCAGAUGUUCCACCCCAUCAGCUCUCCUGGCCUGGCAUUCAGAGCUGAGCGGGGCUGGGAGGUUCUUCACACCCUACUUCCCAGUCUUUCGUUUGGCUCCAUGCCUUGGUACAAGCAUCCCUUUCCCCCAGAGUGUCCUCCCUGUCCUUCCUCCACCCUGCAGCUCAAAGCUUCAGAUGUCUCUUUCUUUGGGCUGAAGGGGGCCAUAUCACAGUUGUUACUUUGAUCCCACUUCCCAGGGCAGAAAUUACCUCCCUAGGCUCAGCCCAGUUCCUGGCCCUGGACAAACAGACAUCAGGAAGCUGCAGUUUCUUCCCAGACUCUCAUUGCUGGGUCCCCUCCCCCUUAGUUCCUGGGCUCUGGUUACUACUAGAGCGGUAAGCUAGAUCAAUCAGCAGGGCCCAAGAAGUGGUGGUGUACAGAGCCAGUUCCUCCCACCUGGAUGGGAUCAUAGCAGUUCAGUUCCGAUGGAACGGUGAUUCCUCUCCUUCCCAGAAGCUAUGCAUUGUCCACCCUACUCUCUGGCUCCUUCCUCCCACGUCUGGGCCGGGCAUGGUGCCAAGUCUUCAUUAGGGGUGUGGGAACUAAAUGAGACUGCAACAGUAUUAGCAUCUGCCUUCCCUAGAGGCUAUCUUCCCUAGAACUCAGCUUUCCAUCUUUCCUUCUAAGCUAGCCUCUUCCAUGAAGCCACCCAUAACCACCUACCCCUAGCACAUAUAAGUGGGCCUCAGUCACUGGCUCACACACACCCAAAGGGUCAGGGUGCUGACUGUUCUCACUUUCCAAGAUGGUGAAUGGCACUCAAAUGGGGCCCAUAGACAUUUAUGGAAUGGAAAAGUUUGGGGGGUAGUGCGGAGGAUAGGGGGGAGUUGCCACAGCCAGCAUGGGGGCAGCUCACUGUACAGUUGCUCAGGCUAGCGUCUGCAGCAGAGAACGCGGCAGGUCUAGCCCAUCACCCUGCAUCCUACACAGGUUCCCCAAGGUUCUGAUUAAUCUGCAGUCCAGAGUACAGGGACAGCUCAUCUGCAAAUGAAUCUUAGCUGUGUGGAGAAAUGGGUCAGGAAACAAAGGCUCCUGAAUCCAAGUGGAUGCUUCCCAUUGGGGCAAAAACCAAAGCUCCGGAGCCCUGAGGAUGGAGGCCAGGCCUCAAUGGCACUGGCUUGUGACUGACUGCAUCUUCAGGGCUUGCAGGUGACUGUGGGAAGGUCAUUUUCCCUUGGACAUGUUCCUCACACCCUCCAACUCUCGGCAAGGAUGAGGCACCUUGGUGGAGUAGAGGAUGGAUCUGACUCCACUUCAGCAGGCCUUGGCUUUGACCCUUCUCAAGGCCUCCUCCUUCCUGACUCAACAGCCCCUCCUUGACUCCCAGUGAUGUCACUUUGGCCACCUCAUCACCAGCUUCUAAGAACCCCCUUCCAGUUACCCUCUGGGCCUCAGAUGAGAGGCCUGAGGUGGCUCCCUCUUCUUCCAGGCUCUUAUUUGGCAUGCAGUCUGACAUUACCAGACCGGAGCCCUCGACAUCCUGAACCAUUUCCAGGGCAGAAAAAGACUCGGUGACUCCUCCCUUGGGAAGUCGGACUAGAGACUCCACUUUCAGCUCCUUCACUGGCAUGGUCCCCAGCACCACCCCCUCCAAGGGCAGAAAGAAGAUAGUUGGGGAAACUUUCUGGGAGUCAUAGCGCUCCGAAAUUCUGGCUGGGACAGAUGCCGCUGAUUUGGGGCGAUGACCUCCCUCUGCACACAGCAAAAACGUGCCGGCCAAGACUUCCAUUCUACUUAAUACCCGGGCCCCCUAAUACCAGGAGCACUGGGCAGUUGCUGCUUCUAAGGACUCAGGAUGAAACCCAGGACCUCAUGCAUGCUAAGCAAGGAGUCUACCAAUGGAGCUACAUACCUAACCCAUUUUCCUUCUUUUUUAAAGUCAAGUUUAUUGAGGGCUCCUGCUUGAACUAAACAUCACCUCAUUUGGAAGCAUCCUGGAAGCCUCCAGGCAUAGGAAGCAAGAUGAUGCUGUGCAAAAAGUGUUGCCUAUUGUGGGACCUGGACUUAGUCUGCUGCUGCUUCUUUGUUCCAGGUUGGCCUCAAAUACAUCAAGUAUCCAAGGAUGACGAGGAACUUCUCAUCUUCCUGCCUCCACCUCCCAAGUACAGGUGUAUGCCACUAUAACCAUUUAUUAUAACCAGUUUAACAAUUAAGAGUUCUUGCCUGGCCUGCACAAAACUGAGUUCAAUCCCCAGCACUUCAUAAAACCAAGCAUGGUGGUGGUGGUGCACACCUCUAAU